Molecule: ribosomal RNA, 392 nt
Filed under: uncultured Glomeromycotina
Lineage: Eukaryota; Fungi; Glomeromycota
Description: SSU rRNA
Rfam family: Eukaryotic small subunit ribosomal RNA
Source: RNAcentral
AGCAGCCGCGGUAAUUCCAGCUCCAAUAGCGUAUAUUAAAGUUGUUGCAGUUAAAAGCUCGUAGUUGAAUUUCGGGAUCAGUUGGUCGGUCGUGCCUCGGUACGUACUGGUCAAAUUGAUUCCUACCUUCUGACGAACCACGAUGUCAUUAAUUUGGUGUCGCGGGAAAUCAGGACUGUUACUUUGAAAAAUUAGAGUGUUUGAAGCAGGCUCGCGCUUGAAUACAUUAGCAUGGAAUAAUGAAAUAGGACGUUUGAUUCUAUUUUGUUGGUUUCUAGGAUCGACGUAAUGAUUAAUAGGGAUAGUUGGGGGCAUUAGUAUUCAAUUGUCAGAGGUGAAAUUCUUGGAUUUAUUGAAGACUAACUACUGCGAAAGCAUUUGCCAAGGAUUGU